RNAcentral lists this ribosomal RNA (839 nucleotides) under Weissella cibaria. RNAcentral's name for it is "bacterial SSU rRNA". It matches the Rfam family "Bacterial small subunit ribosomal RNA", at positions 1 to 778 of the family's 1533-position model. The record is from RNAcentral. Lineage: Bacteria; Bacillati; Bacillota; Bacilli; Lactobacillales; Lactobacillaceae.
UAUUUAUUUAUUAACAUCCUUCCCUUUUUUUUGGUUUAUACCCCGUUCUGAUGAACGCUGGCGGCGUGCCUAAUACAUUCAAGUCGAACGCUCUGUGGUUCAACUGAUUUGAAGAGCUUGCUCAGAUAUGACGAUGGACAUUGCAAAGAGUGGCGCACGGGUGAGUAACACGUGGGAAACCUACCUCUUAGCACGGGAUAACAUUCGGAAACAGAUGCUAAUACCGUAUAACAAUAGCAACCGCAUGGUUGCUACUUAAAAGAUGGUUCUGCUAUCACUAAGAGAUGGUCCCGCGGUGCAUUAGUUAGUUGGUGAGGUAAUGGCUCACCAAGACGAUGAUGCAUAGCCGAGUUGAGAGACUGAUCGGCCACAAUGGGAAUGAGACACGGCCCAUACUCAUACGGGAGGCAGCAGUAGGGAAUCUUCCACAAUGGGCGAAAGCCUGAUGGAGCAACGCCGCGUGUGUGAUGAAGGGUUUCGGCUCGUAAAACACUGUUGUAAGAGAAGAAUGACAUUGAGAGUAACUGUUCAAUGUGUGACGGUAUCUUACCAGAAAGGAACGGCUAAAUACGCGCCAGCAGCCGCGGUAAUACGUAUGUUCCAAGCGUUAUCCGGAUUUAUUGGGCGUAAAGCGAGCGCAGACGGUUAUUUAAGUCUGAAGUGAAAGCCCUCAGCUCAUCUGAGGAAUUGCUUUGGAAACUGGAUGACUUGAGUGCAGUAGAGGAAAGUGGAACUCCAUGUGUAGCGGUGAAAUGCGUAGAUAUAUGGAAGAACACCAGUGGCGAAGGCGGCUUUCCGGACUGUAACUGACGUGCAGCUCGAAAACGUUGAACCCGGCU